CCUACGAGUGGCAGCAGUGGGGAAUAUUGCACCAUGGGGGAAACCCUGAUGCAGCAACGCCGCGUGAAGGAAGACGGUUUUCGGAUUGUACACUUCUGUUCUUCGUGAAGAAUAAUGACGGUAGCUAAUGAUCAAGCCACGGAUAACUACGUGCCAGCAGCCGCGGGAAUACGUGGGUGGCAAGCGUUGUUCAGAAGUACUGGGUGUAAAGGGAGCGCAGGCGGGAAGGCAAGUGAGCUUGGAAAAAUACGGGCUUAACUUGUAGACUGCAGUUGAGUCUGGUUUACUUGAGUGAAGUAGAGGUUGGCGGAAUUCCGAGUGUAGCGGUGAAAUGCGUAGAUAUUCGGAGGAACACCGGUGGCGAAGGCGGCCAACUGGGCUUUAACUGACGCUGAGGCUCGAAAGUGUGGGGAGCAAACAGGAUUAGAUACCCCUGUAGUC
Molecule: ribosomal RNA, 441 nt
Filed under: uncultured bacterium
Lineage: Bacteria
Description: partial 16S ribosomal RNA
Rfam family: Bacterial small subunit ribosomal RNA
Source: RNAcentral